GACGAACGCUGGCGGCGUGCUUAACACAUGCAAGUCGAGCGGUAAGGCCCUUUCGGGGGUACGACGAGCGGCGAACGGGUGAGUAACACGUGGGUGACCUGCCCUCAGCUCUGGGAUAAGCCUGGGAAACCGGGUCUAAUACUGGAUAUGACUCCAUGACGCAUGUUGGUGGGGUGGAAAGCCUUGUGCGGCUGAGGAUGGGCCCGCGGCCUAUCAGCUUGUUGGUGGGGUGANGGCCUACCAAGGCGACGACGGGUAG
Molecule: ribosomal RNA, 259 nt
Filed under: uncultured bacterium
Lineage: Bacteria
Description: partial 16S ribosomal RNA
Rfam family: Bacterial small subunit ribosomal RNA
Source: RNAcentral